UGGCCCAAUGGCAAGGCGCUUGACUACGAAUCAAGAGAUUGCAGGUUCGAUCCCUNN
This 57-nucleotide transfer RNA is filed under the name Penicillium chrysogenum KF-25. RNAcentral describes it as "tRNA-Arg (ACG) (tRNA-Arg-ACG-7 1 to 3)". It matches the Rfam family "tRNA", at positions 8 to 63 of the family's 71-position model. From Rfam's summary of the family: Transfer RNA (tRNA) molecules are approximately 80 nucleotides in length. The record is from RNAcentral. Lineage: Eukaryota; Fungi; Ascomycota; Eurotiomycetes; Eurotiales; Aspergillaceae.